GACCUGAAUCAGGAACCAGAGUCUGGAACACUGUGUUGUGGUAUGCCCGCCGUAAGGUGGCAGCAGAAUCUGAAGCUUUUUCGCUGACAUGAAGUCCACGCCCCUUCGUGCUCUGCACGGAUCUGCCCAGUGGAGGGAGGAGUACCCCAAUGUAAGGAGUCUGCAUGAGGUGCAGCUGAGGUGGCUGGAACUUGGACAGUGAAGAAGGAGUGAUGCAAAAUAAGAUCUUCCUCCCCUCUGAAGCCCCAGGCUCCAUACCGUAUCCUUGGCUCAGAAUGUCAUAUAGAUACCAUUUUAUCUUACCCGGAUUCUCUCAUGUAUGUGGGAUUUUCAUAUGUGCAUAUGUAAUUAAAUGUGGUCGUAUUCUCUUGUGUUAAUCUGUUUCAUGUCUAUUUGAGUAUUAGACCAGCCAAAAGAACCUAGAAGGGCAGAGGAAAGUUUUCUUCAUCCCUCACAGUAAAAUAAGAUAUUUUGA
Long non-coding RNA from Myotis myotis, 475 nucleotides. RefSeq lists it as uncharacterized. The transcript is spliced from 3 exons. Lineage: Eukaryota; Metazoa; Chordata; Mammalia; Chiroptera; Vespertilionidae. The record is from RefSeq and is a predicted model, not a curated record.